GUCAAGCUACAAAGGGCUCACGGCGGAUACCUUGGCACACAGAGGCGAUGAAGGACGUGGUUACCUGCGAUAAGUCUCGGGGAGCUGGAAACACGCUUUGAUCCGGGAAUUUCCGAAUGGGGCAACCCCUAGAACGGCCAGCUGAAUCUAUAGGCUGGCGCGAGCCAACCCAGCGAACUGAAACAUCUUAGUAGCUGAAGGAAUAAAAAUCAAUAGAGAUUCAUUUAGUAGUGGCGAACGAACGAUGAGUAGCCCAGUAAGCUGACGUAAAGCUUUAUAAAUCGAAGCAGGUAGUUGAAGACCUUUAGUAGAGUAGAGUGUUGGCGGUUAUUGAGUAAAACGGCUAAGUAGCAGUUUGAAGAUAGGAGAAGCAACUUCUAAGGCUAUAAUAUGUUUUGAAGAACGAUAGAGGACCAGUAGCGUGAGCGAAAGUUGAGAAGG
RNAcentral lists this ribosomal RNA (441 nucleotides) under Ochromonas sp. CCMP1393. Its description in RNAcentral is "partial Bacterial large subunit ribosomal RNA". It matches the Rfam family "Bacterial large subunit ribosomal RNA", at positions 1 to 522 of the family's 2925-position model. The record is from RNAcentral. Lineage: Eukaryota; Chrysophyceae; Chromulinales; Chromulinaceae.